RNAcentral lists this ribosomal RNA (491 nucleotides) under uncultured bacterium. Its description in RNAcentral is "partial 16S ribosomal RNA". It matches the Rfam family "Bacterial small subunit ribosomal RNA", at positions 29 to 507 of the family's 1533-position model. The record is from RNAcentral.
GUGCAUGCUGGCGGUAGGCCUAACACCUGCAAGUCGCACGGCAGCACAGUAAGAGCUUGCUCUUACGGGUGGCGAGUGGCGGACGGGUGAGGAAUACAUCGGAAUCUACUUUUUCGUGGGGGAUAACGUAGGGAAACUUACGCUAAUACCGCAUACGACCUACGGGUGAAAGCAGGGGAUCUUCGGACCUUGCGCGAUUGAAUGAGCCGAUGUCGGAUUAGCUAGUUGGCGGGGUAAAGGCCCACCAAGGCGACGAUCCGUAGCUGGUCUGAGAGGAUGAUCAGCCACACUGGAACUGAGACACGGUCCAGACUCCUACGGGAGGCAGCAGUGGGGAAUAUUGGACAAUGGGCGCAAGCCUGAUCCAGCCAUACCGCGUGGGUGAAGAAGGCCUUCGGGUUGUAAAGCCCUUUUGUUGGGAAAGAAAAGCAGCAGGUUAAUACCCCGCUGUUCUGACGGUACCCAAAGAAUAAGCACCGGCUAACUUCGUG